GACGAACGCUGGCGGCGUGCUUAACACAUGCAAGUCGAACGGAAAGGCCCUGCUUUUGUGGGGUGCUCGAGUGGCGAACGGGUGAGUAACACGUGAGUAACCUGCCCUUGACUUUGGGAUAACUUCAGGAAACUGGGGCUAAUACCGGAUAGGAGCUCCUGCUGCAUGGUGGGGGUUGGAAAGUUUCGGCGGUUGGGGAUGGACUCGCGGCUUAUCAGCUUGUUGGUGGGGUAGUGGCUUACCAAGGCUUUGACGGGUAGCCGGCCUGAGAGGGUGACCGGCCACAUUGGGACUGAGAUACGGCGCAGACUCCUACGGGAGGCAGCAGUGGGGAAUAUUGCACAAUGGGCGGAAGCCUGAUGCAGCAACGCCGCGUGCGGGAUGACGGCCUUCGGGUUGUAAACCGCUUUCGCCUGUGACGAAGCGGGAGUGACGGUAAUGGGUAAAGAAGCACCGGCUAACUACGUG
This 468-nucleotide ribosomal RNA is filed under the name uncultured bacterium. RNAcentral's name for it is "partial 16S ribosomal RNA". It matches the Rfam family "Bacterial small subunit ribosomal RNA", at positions 28 to 507 of the family's 1533-position model. The record is from RNAcentral.